RNAcentral lists this unclassified non-coding RNA (845 nucleotides) under Hevea brasiliensis (rubber tree). Lineage: Eukaryota; Viridiplantae; Streptophyta; Magnoliopsida; Malpighiales; Euphorbiaceae. The record is from RNAcentral.
GCCGGUGAUGCCUUGAUCGGUCGUUGCUGGGAUUGCGUUGCUGGACAAGCUCUUUAUGUAUGUCAGCUUGAAGACAAUCUUCAAGAACUUGAGACUGCAAACUUGAGACUGCAAGAGAUAAAUUAAGAGAGCUGAGCAAUGAUGUGAUGCGGAUGGUCAUCAGUGAGGAAACUCCACAAACAGUGCAGCUGGAUCGAUUUGGAGGAUGGCUUUCAAGGGUAGACGCUACCAUUACUGAAGUUGAUUCUCUCCUCAACAGAGCUACGCUAGAAAGACAGAAAUUGUGUCUCGCAGGCUGUUGCUCCAAGAACUGUAAGUCCACCUACAUGUUUGGGAAAAGCGUUUCCAGAAGCCUCAAACAUGUGGUUGGUUUGAUGAGCGAAGGUGAAUUCAAAGAAGUGGUUAUCAGGGCCCCUGCUGUCCAACUUCAAGCUAAUCUCGAAGCUUUAAGGACUGCAAGACGAGAAUUAUGGGCUUCAAAGCAGGAUGUGAAGCGGAAGGUUGACUUAGAGGAAGGACAACAAAAGAAGGCGCUGCAACAAGUUCUAUUGUGGCUUUCGAUGGCGGAAGCGAUGAUAACCGAAGCAGAGGAGCUCGAAAGAGAUGGUCCACAACAAGUUCAGAAAUUGCUAGCUGGAGAUAUUUCCAAUUACAUGUUCGUGGGAAGGGUCGCCAAAAAAUUAGAAGAUGUGAUUGCGUUAAAAGCCAAAGGAGAUUUUAAGGAAGUGGUUGAGAGGACACUUCCAGAACCAGUGGUAGUAAGAAAUGUUAAUCCAACAGUGGGCACUGAAACUACCUUAGACGAGGCAUGGAGCUUCAUCACGGGAGAUCAGGUGGGAAUUUUU